UGGUCAAGUUAUUAAGGGUGCAGGGCGGAUGCCUUGGCACUAGGAGCCGAUGAAGGACGUGAUAAGCUGCGAUAAGCUUCGGGGAGUUGCACGUAAACUUUGAUCCGAAGAUUUCCGAAUGAGGAAACUCACUUAGAGUAAUGUCUAAGUAUCAUUAAGUGAAUACAUAGCUUAAUGAGGGGAACUCAGGGAACUGAAACAUCUAAGUACCUGAAGGAAGAGAAAGAAAUUCGAUUCCGUAAGUAGCGGCGAGCGAACGCGGAUUAGCCCAAACCAAUAAAGUUUUCUUUAUUGGGGUUGAGGACAUACCACAUAUAAGAGGUCAUUAUAGACGAAGAAGUUUGGAAAAACUCAUCAUAGAAGGUAAUAAUCCUGUAGUCAAAAUAAUAAUUCUUUAGGUAUGAUCCAGAGUACCACGGGACACGUGAAACCCUGUGGGAAGCAGGAGGGACCACCCUCCAAGGCUAAAUACUACCUAGUGACCGAUAGCGUAUAGUACCGUGAGGGAAAGGUGAAAAGAACCCCGGGAGGGGAGUGAAAUAGAACCUGAAACCCUGCACUUACAAGCUGUGGAAGCACAUUUCUUGUGUGACCGCGUACUUUUUGUAGAACGGGCCAACGAGUUACGUUAAGUAGCAAGGUUAAGCACUUAAGGUGCGGAGCCGUAGCGAAAGCGAGUUUUAACUGAGCGUUCAGUUACUUGACGUAGACCCGAAACCGGGCGACCUACCCAUGAGCAGGAUGAAGCGAAAGUAAAAUUUCGUGGAGGUCCGAACCCACGAGCGUUGAAAAGCUCGGGGAUGACUUGUGGGUAGCGGUGAAAUUCCAAUCGAGCCCGGAGAUAGCUGGUUCUCCCCGAAAUAGCUUUAGGGCUAGCCUCAAGGUGAGAGAUACGGAGGUAGAGCACUGAAUGUCCUAGGGGGUAUUGCACCUACCGAAGACUAUCAAACUCCGAAUGCCGUCAUCUUAUACUUGGGAGUCAGACUGUGGGUGAUAAGAUUCAUAGUCGAAAGGGCAACAGCCCAGAUCGUCAGCUAAGGUCCCUAAAUGUAAGUUAAGUGGUAAAGGAUGUGGGAUUGCACAGACAACCAGGAUGUUGGCUUAGAAGCAGCCACUCAUUCAAAGAGUGCGUAAUAGCUCACUGGUCGAGUGAUCCUGCGCCGAAGAUUUCCGGGGCUAAAACUUACUACCGAAGCUACGGCAUCAGUAAUGAUGGGUAGGGGAGCUUCCCAUACGGGUUGAAGCAUGACCGUAAGGACAUGUGGACAGUAUGGGAGUGAGAAUGUUGGCAUGAGUAGCGAGAUGUGGGUGAGAAUCCCACAGGCCGUAAACCCAAGGUUUCCAGGGGAAGGUUCGUCCGCCCUGGGUUAGUCGGGACCUAAGCUGAGGCCGAAAGGCGUAGGUGAUGGACAACAGGUUGAUAUUCCUGUACUACCGAUAACCGUUUGAGAGAAGGGAUGACACAGUAGGAUAAGCUAAGCACACUGUUGGUUAUGUGUGCCCAAGCAUUGAGGCAGUCAAAGUAGGCAAAUCCGCUUUGAUAAUGCUGGGAUGUGAUGGGGAGCGAAAUUUAGUAGCGAAGUAGCUGAUUUCACACUGUCAAGAAAAGUCUCUAUCGAGGUUAAAGGUACCCGUACCGCAAACCGACACAGGUGGGUGAGGAGAGUAUCCUAAGGCCAGCGAGAGAACUGUUGUUAAGGAACUCGGCAAAAUGACCCCGUAACUUAGGGAUAAGGGGUGCCACCAUCAGGUGGCCGCAGAGAAUAGGCCCAAGCGACUGUUUACCAAAAACAUAGGUUUCUGCUAAGUCGCAAGACGAUGUAUAGGAGCUGACGCCUGCCCGGUGCUGGAAGGUUAAGGGGAUCUGUUAGAGCAAUCGAAGCAGUGAACUUAAGCCCCAGUAAACGGCGGCCGUAACUAUAACGGUCCUAAGGUAGCGAAAUUCCUUGUCGGGUAAGUUCCGACCCGCACGAAAGGCGUAACGAUUUGGGCACUGUCUCAACAACAGACUCGGUGAAAUUGUAAUUCCGGUGAAGAUGCCGGAUACCUGCGACAGGACGGAAAGACCCCAUGGAGCUUUACUGUAGCUUGACAUUGGGUCUUGGUACUACAUGUACAGGAUAGGUGGGAGGCUUUGAAACCAGGACGCCAGUUUUGGCGGAGCCAUCCUUGGGAUACCACCCUUGUAGUACUGGGACUCUAACCAUAGGCCAUGAAUCUGGUCUUGGGACACUGUCAGGUGGGCAGUUUGACUGGGGCGGUCGCCUCCCAAAAGGUAACGGAGGCGCUCAAAGGUUCUCUCAGUACGGUCGGAAAUCGUACGUAGAGUGUAAAGGCAAAAGAGAGCUUGAUUGCAAGACAUACAGGUCGAGCAAGGAUGAAAAUCGGACUUAGUGAUCCGGUGGUUCUGCGUGGAAGGGCCAUCGCUCAACGGAUAAAAGCUACCCUGGGGAUAACAGGCUUAUCUCCCCCAAGAGUCCACAUCGACGGGGAGGUUUGGCACCUCGAUGUCGGCUCAUCACAUCCUGGGGCUGUAGUAGGUCCCAAGGGUUGGGCUGUUCGCCCAUUAAAGUGGUACGCGAGCUGGGUUCAGAACGUCGUGAGACAGUUCGGUCCCUAUCCGUCGCAGGCGUAGGAAAUUUGAGAAGACCUGUCCUUAGUACGAGAGGACCGGGAUGGACGUACCUCUGGUGUACCAGUUGUCCUGCCAAGGGCAUGGCUGGGUAGCUAUGUACGGAAUGGAUAAGCGCUGAAAGCAUCUAAGCGCGAAGCCAACUUCAAGAUAAGAUUUCCCACCGCAAGGGUAAGACCCCAGAAAGACUAUCUGGUUGAUAGGUCGAAGGUGUAAGUGCAGCAAUGUAUUUAGCUUAUCGAUACUAAUAGGUCGAGGACUUGACCAAU
This 2901-nucleotide ribosomal RNA is filed under the name Clostridioides difficile. Its description in RNAcentral is "bacterial LSU rRNA". It matches the Rfam family "Bacterial large subunit ribosomal RNA". The record is from RNAcentral. Lineage: Bacteria; Bacillati; Bacillota; Clostridia; Peptostreptococcales; Peptostreptococcaceae.